CCUAGUCAUCUAUAGAAGUAAACGGCGAACUCUCCACCUAACAGUCAUGCAGCGAUAACGAUAUCUGCAGGGCGACGAUCAGAGCACACGACUAUUAGACAAUGCGUGUGUACAAUAAUAUCUACAGUACGGUACACAACGGACGCAGUAUUCCACGACUGACGUUGACGUCGGACGACACUCGAAUGUCGACGAUCACUCAAUUUUUUUGGAGGUUAUCGGAUUUGGCCUACCUUUAUGGCCUUCUUGGACACCAUUGGCAUCAAGCAGAGAUUGACAGUGUCAGCCAGGAUCGAUGCCGUCUGCUCCUUGGCCGAUUUCAUCCUGCCGCCGCAACGUACUUUGCAUAAGCAGCCGGCACUGAAUGACGACUAUUGCUGUUUCUGUUUAAAUAAAUCGUAUCAAAGAUAUCAUAAUAAUUUGUGGCCUCUCUAUCCAGUAAAAUGCCAUCCUCGUAUGUGCAAUUGUCAUGGACGAGCCACAUACACUAUAAAGAAAAAAACAGGUAGAUGCGAGUACGCGCUGGUUUCUUUUCUCGGAAUUUGUUGCACUCAUCGUCAGUUAGAUUGCUCGACUCGUUUCAGCGUUUCUUUUAUCCUUAUCGUCCAUUCGCAGGUACAGAGGAGCGCUGCUAGUGACCUCAUAAACGUAUGGUAAAGAUUAGUACGGUCUGCUGAUGUGCUAUACGAAAAUUGGGCUGAACGAACACGGUCAGCACAUAGAAAUGCUGAUUAGUAAGGCAAACGUGACCAAAUCCAGCUCCUUCAAUGUAGGCGGCGAU
Long non-coding RNA from Varroa destructor (honeybee mite), 781 nucleotides. Lineage: Eukaryota; Metazoa; Arthropoda; Arachnida; Mesostigmata; Varroidae. The record is from RefSeq and is a predicted model, not a curated record.